GAUUGCCUCAGUAACGGCGAGUGAAGCGGCAAAAGCUCAAAUUUUAAAGCUGGCACCUUCGGUGUCCGCGUUGUAAUUUUGUGAGGCAUCUCCGGGUAGGGCGCCGGCCUAAGUUCCUUGGAACAGGACGUCAUAGAGGGUGAGAAUCCCGUGCUUGGCUGGCUGUCCCUGUCCAUGUGAGGUGUCUUCGACGAGUCGAGUUGUUUGGGAAUGCAGCUCAAAAUGGGUGGUAAAUUUCAUCUAAAGCUAAAUAUUGGUGGGAGACCGAUAGCGCACAAGUAGAGUGAUCGAAAGAUGAAAAGCACUUUGAAAAUAGAGUUAAAAAGUACGUGAAAUUGUUGAAAGGGAAGCGCUUGAGACCAGACUUCGGUGGGGAGUGAUCAGCUGUCCUUCUGGGCGGUGCACUUGCUCCCCUCCGGGCCAGCAUCGGUUGGGACGGCGGGAUAAAGGUCCCGGGAAUGUGGCUCCUCUCGGGGAGUGUUAUAGCCCGGGUGAAUGCCGCCAGCCCCGACCGAGGACCGCGCCUUCGGGCUAGGAUG
Molecule: ribosomal RNA, 539 nt
Rfam family: Eukaryotic large subunit ribosomal RNA